RNAcentral lists this long non-coding RNA (922 nucleotides) under Homo sapiens (human). Its description in RNAcentral is "HSALNT0204525". Lineage: Eukaryota; Metazoa; Chordata; Mammalia; Primates; Hominidae. The record is from RNAcentral.
CAACUGCACUCUUCUGGUCCACGUUUGUUAUGGCUUGAGCUGAGCUUUUGCUCGCCAUCCACCACUGCUGUUUGCCUCCGUCGCAGACCUACCACUGACUCCCAUCCCUCCGGAUCCGGCAGGGUGUCUGCUGUGCUCCUGAUCCAGUGAGGCGCCCAUUGCCACUCCCGAUCGGGCUAAAGGCUUGCCAUUGUUCCUGCACGGCUAAGUGCCCGGGUUCGUCCUAAUUGAGCUGAACACUAGUCACUGUGUUCCAAGGUUCUCUUCCGUGACCCAUAACUUCUAAUAGAGCUAUAACACUCACCACAUGGCCCAAGAUUCCAUUCCUUGGAAUCCUGUGAGGCCAAGAACCUCAGGUCAGAGAAUAUGAGGCUUGCCACCAUCUUGGAAGUGACCCGCCGCCGUUUUGGAAGUAGCCUACCACCAUCUUGGGAGCUCUGGGAGCAAGGACCCCUGGUAACAUUUUGGAGACCACGAAGGGACAUCCAAAGUGGCCAUUGUAGACAAUUUAUCCUAUUACCCCAGAAGCGACUGAGAUGGUGGAAAUUAAUGAUUAGGAAAAAGAAGGCCAGAGGAGAAGUAAAAAACAGGGAAAGGCCAGUCUAUGGAGCAGUAAGAAUACACACAACAUUCAUCGAUUAAGGUUGUCAUCUUACACUGUGCCCCAAAACACCAUAUAAUUUUGUGAUGUCCCAGAACAAUUACAAUAGUAACAAUCUAGAGCACUGAUCACAAAUCAUCCUAAAAGAUACAAUAAUAAUAAAAAUGUUUGAAAUAUUGUGAAUAUUAUGUGACACAGACACAAGGUGAGCACAUGCUGUCAAAAAAAAAUGGUGCCAUAAACUUGCUUGACACAAGGUUGCACAAACCUUCAAUUUGUAAAAAAAAUGUAAUACCUGAGAAGCACAAUAAAGCAAAAUGC